UAUUUGUGAUUGUACAUACAGUAAUUCAAGUUUGAUGUUUUGUCAGUGAACGUAAGGGUUUGCUUUGUAUGCAUGGCCCUUAAGAUCGCCUCCCUUUUGCUAUGUGGGAGCGUGUCGAGUCAUAGCCAUGCAAAAUUCACAACGAGGUUCCAGAGAGUUUUUCUCUGAAACUUCUUCUCUUCCUGUUUUAGUUCCAGUAUCUUCAUCCAGGCAUCAAGUUUCCUGUAGUGUAUGACCAUCAUGUAGUAGCUGCUUUCUGCAAUGCUUCUGUGGGCUCAUCACUCGUGCAACUCUUUGCCAAAUCAAUUGGAGAUGUCUAGAUUUUGGAAGUGAACAUGUUUUAAUAAAGAAUUCAUAAAUUUUGUCACCCAUAUAACCACAAUUCAGAGUUUUUCAUUAGUUAAGUAAUACUUUUCAACUAAACCACACUGUUUUAGCAUCAGUUUUGAUUCUACUGGUUGUCAAUUUUCUUUUAAAAGUUUGACCUUUCAGAUGGUAUGCUUUCAGUUUGUGGGCGUAUGUCAAGCCAUGCUAAAUUCACAUGAUGAACCAGAGUUUUCCUCUGUAUUUUUUUUCUGUUAUCAACACAUUUAUUUUCAGGUGACUCCAUCUUGGCAUUGCGUUCCUUGUAGAAAGAGUCAGCAUACACUCUUCUAUGUCACUUUUCUAUGUCACUUCAAUUGAGUUCUUUCCGCCUUGCGCUUUGUGACCCUUUGCUUUGUUAAAUUAUUGGUUUAAUUAAAGUGGACAUCCUAAGAGCAUCUCCAACAGUUAUGCAAUUGGAAUUUGCCAUUUAUUGGAGUUUGCCAAGUCCCUAAACGUUUUGCCAAAGGAAAAAUAAGUUCAUCUCCAAGUCUUUGCCAUUUUUGACUUGGCAUUUUCCAAAAUAGUGGACCCAACUAUUUUUGUCUGGGAAUCUUUCAUCUUCGCGGGAAAUUCUCUCGUGCGUCGUGGGGCGCUUUCUUUUCCGCGCGCAAUUCCUUCGCCCGUCGCCGCCAAUUCUCUCGCACGUCGCGCGGCCGUGUUCAUCCCGCAAGUCCACGUCGCCGCUUGGUCCAGGUCGUCGAGUUUCGAUCUCGUCGCUGCGAUCGAUCUCCUAGCCUCGCGUCGCUGCAACAAAACGAGGCGGUGAUGGAUCUCCUACUUGGCGUAGCGUCGCGUGAAGGAAGGAGAGGAGGCGGUGAAUGGAUCUCCUAGCCUCGCGUCGUUGCAAGAAAAGGAGGCAGCGAUGGAUCUCCUUCGUCCCCGCGCAAAGAAAGGAGGCGGCGCGCGAAGAAAGGAGGCGGCGCGCGGGGGAAAGAAAAGAGUCACGCGUGGGGAGGAGUCGUAUCGCGGGAAACUACUGCGACGUGGGGAGUACGGGCACGACAAAGAGUCCAAGAUUCUCGGGAUAUCAAAAUUGCCAAGUCAUUGUGCCUAUGCAAAAAUGCCAAGUUUGGUCCAUCAAAUGUCAAGUUUGCCAAAAUGCAUAAGUCAAAUACAAAACUGUUGGAGAGCAAUUAAGGUUUUUGGCAAAUUUCAAGAAUGCAAAGUUCAAUUGCAUAACUGUUGGAGAUGCUGUUGGAGAUGCUCUAAGGUUCCCUAUAGUUUUAAAAUUCAGAUAUCAGCUUUGCAAUUUUUCAACCCCUUUAAAUUUAUAAUGUUUAUUAGUAAACAGCAAUAUAGAGGAAUAUGCUUCUAUGGGAGUGAAGCUGGAUAUACCUCUUAGCUUGUAUUUUAGUGAUAUUGAUUAAUUUUCUUCUGAAUGCGUGAUGCACAUGUCAGUCGGUAGAUCGUUUUUGACCGUUUCUUGCAAUUCACAUUAAUUUAGUUUCAGUAUGAUUGUAUCACGACCUUGCUGAAUCCAUCUUAGAUCCUUUUAAUUAUUUAAUAGUAUGAAUAUCUUUCAGAUUUAUUUUGUAUUAUUAAUUUACACUUGAUUUCAUAAUCCUUUUUGGCAUGAAGGUAAAAGCAGACCACGAUGAGCCAUGCUUGCAGCUCAGGAAGAUGCACUGAGAUGCAAGGAGCUUGGAAUCACCGCUGUGCACAUUGAGCUUACCGGUGGAAUCAAGACAAACACUCCAGGCCCUGGGGCUUAGUCUGUGCUUAGGGCUCUUGCGUUUGGCAUGAAGAUUGGACGCAUUGUUUAUUCUAUCUAGAUUUGAUGUCCUGUUGGUAAUGUAGAUUUGUUACACAAUUGGGUCGAGUGACACUUCUCGAUUUUUUGUAUUCUGUUUAUACUAAUACUAUGAUCGCACCCGAUUGGCAAAUCAGCACUACAAGUGUUCACCUUGGAGUUUCGUUUUUUAUGUUGGAAGAUUAACCGUUUUGUUUUCA
This is a long non-coding RNA of Sorghum bicolor (sorghum), 2316 nucleotides long. RefSeq lists it as uncharacterized. The transcript is spliced from 2 exons. Lineage: Eukaryota; Viridiplantae; Streptophyta; Magnoliopsida; Poales; Poaceae. The record is from RefSeq and is a predicted model, not a curated record.